Non-coding RNA from Lolium perenne, 768 nucleotides. NCBI's taxonomy places the organism in Eukaryota, Viridiplantae, Streptophyta, Magnoliopsida, Poales, Poaceae. The record is from RefSeq and is a predicted model, not a curated record.
GGGUGACGAACUUGGGUAUGCCCCUCGGAGGGACGAAGUGUUCAUCAGAACACAUACGCUCAAGAAAGGACCAAACAAAGGACAACACGUGCCAGAGGCAGCUCCAAUUAUUAGUGAACUCCUACGGGCAGCUAAUGUCCACCCUGACUGGAAGGAAAAGAGUUUGAAAGAAGGUGAUCUAUUUGCACGAGUUGUUGGAAUGAAAGAGCCAAGGGGUCGUGUUCGUGUGUUAGGUCUAGGGCCAACACCUCAAGAUGUGGGCACACCGGAUACACGGGGUAAAGUGAGCACAAGGGUUCUAGUUGAAAUGGUAGCACGUCGAGAAGCUGAACACCGCAUGAGCACUUUGGAGGAGAAGAUGCAACAAAUGCAGCAACAAAUGAACAAAAUGCAAGAAAUUAUGGCAGCUUCACAAGGAGGGCAUAAUUUGGAGGCUCCUAGCUCGCAACAUGGUUCUAAUUCUCGACGAAACUCAAUAGAUGAAAUUGAGGAAGAAAUUGAUGGCGAAGAUGGCGAUGAAGAGGAUGGUGAAGAUGACAAUGUUCAGAGAAGGAAAUUUGUUGCAAAUCCAAGAAACGCUUCAACCUGACAAGAUGAAAGCCUUAUUGGGAUGGAUGUGCUUCUUUAUGCAUGGACUGGUCCUGAAACUCCUGUUGCUAAGGCAACAGUUCUCUCAGUCGAUCCAGACACAACUGUGGGUGGGGAGCCCCUUGGACCUGGUACUUAUGAGGUUAUUGUGAAUGUUGCCAUUAAAAGGGAUACUAUUCU